CGGCACGGCUGACUGGCACUUGGAGAGUGGCAAGUCUUCCAGUAUGGGGAGCAAAACAGCUAUGGGUCAAGUCCGAUAUCUUUAGGAGAAGUCUUAUUGUGAGGGCGAGUUAUAUAACACCAUAGGACUGGCCGUCCCAUAUGAAAAGAUUAUAUUAGAAUUGAAUGAAGCUUUGUUUAUAUAUUGAUAAUGACAGUAUAUAUAUCGUGUCUUGACUAAUUGCGUGCCAGCAGUCGCGGUAAUACGUAAGAGACUAGUGUUAUUCAUCUUAAUUAGGUUUAAAGGGUACCCAGACGGUCAAUAUAGCUUAUAAAAUGUUAGUACUUGACUAGAGUUUUAUGUAAGAGGGCAGUACUUGAGGAGGAGAGAUGAAAUUUCGUGAUACCAAAGGGACUCUGUAAAGGCGAAGGCAGCCCUCUAUGUAAAAACUGACGUUGAAGGACGAAGGCACAGAGAACAAACAGGAUUAGAUACCCAAGUAGUCUUUGCAGUAAAUGAUGAAUGCCAUAGGUUAGAUUGAUCAAUUAUAGUCUAGGGUUAGUCUAGCAAACUAAUGCCCUAUGAUAUAAUUCAAAAUAUCUGGUCUAUAAAUGAAAGUGUAAGCAUUUCACCUCAAGAGUAAUGUGGCAACGCAGGAACUGAAAUCACUAGACCGUUUCUGACACCAGUAGUGAAGUAUGUUAUUUAAUUCAUUGAUCUGCAAUAUCACAAA
Molecule: ribosomal RNA, 712 nt
Filed under: Fusarium oxysporum
Lineage: Eukaryota; Fungi; Ascomycota; Sordariomycetes; Hypocreales; Nectriaceae
Description: SSU rRNA
Rfam family: Bacterial small subunit ribosomal RNA
Source: RNAcentral